CCUACGGGUGGCAGCAGUGAGGAACAUUGGUCAAUGGGCGGAAGCCUGAACCAGCCAAGUAGCGUGCAGGAUGACGGCCCUACGGGUUGUAAACUGCUUUUAUACGGGAAUAACGCGUCUUACGUGUAGGGUUUUGCAUGUACCGUAUGAAUAAGGACCGGCUAAUUCCGUGCCAGCAGCCGCGGUAAUACGGAAGGUCCGGGCGUUAUCCGGAUUUAUUGGGUUUAAAGGGAGCGUAGGCCGCAUGUCAAGCGUGCUGUGAAAUGUCCGGGCUCAACCCGGGCCUUGCAGUGCAAACUGGCGGGCUUGAGUCCGCGAGAGGCAGGCGGAAUUCGUGGUGUAGCGGUGAAAUGCUUAGAUAUGACGAAGAACCCCGAUUGCGAAGGCAGCUUGCUGGAGCGGAACUGACGCUGAGGCUCGAAAGCGCGGGUAUCGAACAGGAUUAGAUACCCUAGUAGUC
Molecule: ribosomal RNA, 460 nt
Filed under: uncultured bacterium
Lineage: Bacteria
Description: partial 16S ribosomal RNA
Rfam family: Bacterial small subunit ribosomal RNA
Source: RNAcentral